AGUAGGGUGAUCGAGAAAAUUAGGUGAAAGAUUGUAAAUCUUUUUAGGGGUAUAGUUUAUUACCCUCCUACUA
This 73-nucleotide transfer RNA is filed under the name Salganea raggei. Its description in RNAcentral is "tRNA-Tyr". The record is from RNAcentral. Lineage: Eukaryota; Metazoa; Arthropoda; Insecta; Blattodea; Blaberidae.